RNAcentral lists this long non-coding RNA (520 nucleotides) under Chlamydomonas reinhardtii. RNAcentral describes it as "long non-coding RNA (CREI_LNC000999)". The record is from RNAcentral. Lineage: Eukaryota; Viridiplantae; Chlorophyta; Chlorophyceae; Chlamydomonadales; Chlamydomonadaceae.
ACUACAAACAUUUGUCGUUCUAUAUGGUUAAGCCGUACGCAGCCACUUGAUGCGCUCCGCUGCAGCCCCAUCGCAACGUUGCUUUCCACAACGCCACCGCUGACCUCUGCUAUCUCCUUCACCAUCGCCAUCGCUGCGCUUUACGCGAAGUACUCCGCCUGCUUCAUUUUGAGCACCUUCAUGAUGCCCUUGUGCUCGCCCGCCAGCUCCGUGUACCGUCCCGGCAGCGAUUUGAGGUACUCCGCCUCGCCCGCCCGCACGUCGCGCAGCUUCUUGGCGGGGCUGCCCGCCCACACCUCCCCGGACGGCACGGUGGUGCCCUCCUCCACGUAGGAGCCCGCGGCAAUGACGGCACCCGACUGGAUCUGCACGUGCAACAAGUCACCCGUGCAGCGGAGACCGAAGCUCUGUUAUUAGUUUGCGGCACCAGGCCACAAGCUAGCUAGGCCCGUGGGGGGGCGCUGGCCCAGGCACCACGGCCACGUACCCGCACCUCCCCGCCCCUGCCUGAGGCACGCAU